RNAcentral lists this ribosomal RNA (406 nucleotides) under uncultured bacterium. RNAcentral describes it as "bacterial SSU rRNA". It matches the Rfam family "Bacterial small subunit ribosomal RNA", at positions 37 to 433 of the family's 1533-position model. The record is from RNAcentral.
UGGCGGCGNGGCUAACACAUGCAAGUCGUACGAGAAAGGGGCUUCGGCCCUGAGUAGAGUGGCGCACGGAUGAGUAACGCGUGGGUAAUCUACCCUUGGAUUUGGGAUAACUUCGCGAAAGCGGAGCUAAUACCGGAUAGUCUGGCUUUAAUUAAGAAGUCGGUAAAGGAUGCCUCUGUAUAUGCAUUCGUCCGAGGAUGAGCCCGCGUCUCAUUAGCUAGUUGGUAGGGUAAUGGCCUACCAAGGCAACGAUGAGUAGCUGGUCUGAGAGGAUGAUCAGACACACUGGAACUGAAACACGGUCCAGACUCCUACGGGAGGCAGCAGUGGGGAAUAUUGCGCAAUGGGCGAAAGCCUGACGCAGCAACGCCGNGUGAGGGAUGAAGGCUUUCGGGUCGUAAACCUC